This is a long non-coding RNA of Vulpes vulpes (red fox), 1613 nucleotides long. NCBI's taxonomy places the organism in Eukaryota, Metazoa, Chordata, Mammalia, Carnivora, Canidae. The record is from Ensembl.
CCGAGCCCUUCCCAUCCCUCCCAUUUCCCUCCGUCCACGCGUUUCCUUGAGAGAGAAACCCCGGAGCGUUUUGAGGAGGACGAGGGGUGGUGGAAGCGAAGCGCAGAGAGAAAAAUCAGACCUGGCCCCCGGGCUCCGCGAGCAGGAAACCCAAGUCCCCGGCUCCGCUCGUAACAUAUAUGUGGCUACAGCCAGCGAUGAAUUUCUGCAUUUUGGCACCGGUCAGAGUGAAAGUAGUCGCACUAUCUAUAGAAACUUUGAGAUGGAGAACACUUGGAGUAUGCUACUGAAAAUGCAAGAAACACAUUUUUGAAAGGAUGAAAUAAUAUCACUGAGUGACAGUAAAUUAACAUGCUGACAUUUGCAGACUUUCAGAGCAUUGCCAUAAAAAGAAGUAAUACAACAUGACUAAUUUGGACUUCUUCUUUCUUCCUUCCUAGGCAGAGACAGCCCUGCCCCUCCUCGGCCACCCUGCAGGCGGUGCCCAGCCGGCACUUCCUCCUCUUUCCCGGGAAACACUCCCGGCUUCCCGCUCCCGGGCGCCUCUCGGAGACGCUGUGACAGGCGCCCACGGGAUGCUCUCUGGAGUGGUCCCUGGCGGGCGGGGGGCAUGGCCUGCCGGGCGACCCCGCCCCCCUUCCACACACACACGCACACACGCACACACACCGUGCAGUGCCGGGGCUGGGGGAGUCCUUGCACACCUUCCAGCAUCAUGGCACAGAUGGAGAAACUGAGGCACAGAGAGGCUCUACGUUCCCAGGCCUCUUCUCUCCCUCCGCCCCCCACCACCGGGGCCAAGCAUCCAGCCCCGUAAGUCCUCCAGGUGAAAACGGGCAUCCCGGCCACCGCCCUGCGUGGGAAAUAAGCCUUCUGAGGAAGCACCCGCUGCACAUUUGCUAAAUUAAUGAAAAAAGAACUGCACGGGGUGAGUCGAUGCCCCGGCUCGGUGUGUCCGGAGUGGGGGCUCUCACAGCCGGCCUCCCCCUUUGUCAGACACCGGGGUGGCCGUGCCCUCCCCGGGGAGCAGGAUGCCCCUUUGUUCUGCGAGCUGGGUUUCCCAGGCCCCUCUGGACCCUCCUGCCGGACCCCGCUGGACCCCACUGGACCCCACAGGACCCCAUUGGACACCGCUGGGCCCUGCAGGACCCUGCAGGACCUCGCUGGACCCCGCCGGACCCCACUGGACCCCGCUGGACUCCGCAGGACCCCGCCAGGCCUGCGUGCGCGCGGGCGGCCAGACUGUUACGAGCUAACCCAAGUUGAGACUAACCUUUCAGCAGAACAGUUUGAGUUAAAAUAAAGGGAUUGAAAAAGAGUACAAUGACCAAAAAAAUCUAUAAAAAUGCAAUUGCGCUAAUAUAAUUUUAUCACUUAUUUAAAAAUUUAGUCGACCCAAAAGACUACCAAGUGUGAAAUUAAGGAACAGCUCCUCUACUUUUAUGGAAAUCACUCUUCCUCACUUGUCUAAUAGCCUGAUUUUGUCAGAUCAUUUAUUUCCAUGGUUUUAAAAUGAGCUUGACAGACAGAAUUUUAUAACACCACUUUACUGCAAAUAAGAACAUCAUUUUCGCUUAUUAAAACUGAAGCUUAGAGAAAGCAUUAAAAUUAAC